GAGUUUGAUCCUGGCUCAGGACGAACGCUGGCGGCGUGCUUAACACAUGCAAGUCGAACGGAAAGGCCCUGCUUUUGUGGGGUGCUCGAGUGGCGAACGGGUGAGUAACACGUGAGUAACCUGCCCUUGACUUUGGGAUAACUUCAGGAAACUGGGGCUAAUACCGGAUAGGAGCUCCUGCUGCAUGGUGGGGGUUGGAAAGUUCGGCGGUGGGGAUGGACUCGCGGCUUAUCAGCUUGUUGGUGGGGAGUGGCUUACCAGGCUUGACGGGUAGCGGCUGAGAGGUGCCGGCCAC
This 295-nucleotide ribosomal RNA is filed under the name uncultured soil bacterium. Its description in RNAcentral is "partial 16S ribosomal RNA". It matches the Rfam family "Bacterial small subunit ribosomal RNA", at positions 9 to 311 of the family's 1533-position model. The record is from RNAcentral.